GUCCAGGUCUGCAGCAACGUCAAUUCUUGCCUCCUAAGAAGGAAGAAUUCGACUGAGGGGCACAAAGCAGAAAGGGCGACUGAGUCAAGUUCCAGAGCAGGAAUGAAAGUUUAUUUUAAAAUGCCUUAGAACAGGAACGAAAUGAAGGUGUGCAUGGAAAAGACCCACGCAGGCACAUGAAGGUUAAAGAGAGAAGAGAUGGAUCUCAAAAAAGAAAUCAAAACUGGCUCAGAUUUCCCAAGGAUUUCCAUAUCUAUAUACUAGAAGAUAAUUCAGACUUAUGCAUCUGAGAAGGGAAUUUCCAGAACCAAAUGUGGAGCUGGGAAAAGGCCAUAAUCUGAAGGGGAAAUGAAGCCUGAGUCUUGCAUGACAUGUCCUCCAGAAAAUAGUGAUCAUCUGGACCAUGAAGUUGAGAGGGAUGACCAGAGGCAGCCUGCUACAUCAGGAGUGAGAGAAUUAGAAGAAACUAUUCUAAAAUGUAUAUGGAACCAAAAAAAGCCCAAAUGGCCAAGGCAUUCUUAAGUAAAAAGAAUAAAUUCAGAAGAAUCACGUUACCUAAUUUCAAACCAUACUACAAUGCUAUGAUAACUAAAGCAGCAUGAUACUGGUACAAAAAUAGAUGCAUAGAUGUAUGGAAUAGAAUAGAAAAUGCUGAAAUGAAGCCACACACCUACAACCAACUGAUCUUUGACAAAACUGACAAAAAUAUACAGUGGGGAAAAGACACUUUAUUCAACAAAUGGUGUUGGGAAAACUGGCUAACCAUACGCAGAAGAAUGAAACUGGACCCCUACCUGUAACCAGAUACAAAAAUUAACUCCAGAUGGGUUAAAGGGUUAAAU
Molecule: long non-coding RNA, 842 nt
Filed under: Homo sapiens (human)
Lineage: Eukaryota; Metazoa; Chordata; Mammalia; Primates; Hominidae
Description: PREDICTED lncRNA (TCONS_00262070)
Source: RNAcentral